Molecule: long non-coding RNA, 727 nt
Filed under: Marmota monax (woodchuck)
Lineage: Eukaryota; Metazoa; Chordata; Mammalia; Rodentia; Sciuridae
Source: RNAcentral
GUUAUGUCUUGUUGGUGGAUGGUUCCUUUUAACAGUAUAUAGUGUCCUUCUUUAUCCCUUUUGAUUAACUUAGGUUUGAAGUUGAUUUUAUUCGAUAUGAGUAUGGCCACUCCUGCUUGCUUCCGAGGGCCAUGUGAGUGGUAUGAUUUUUCCCAACCUUUUACCUUCAGCCUGUGUAUGUCUUUUCCUAUCAUAUGAGUCUCCUGAAGGCAGCAUAUUGUUGGAUUUGUUUUUUUGAUCCAGGUUACUAGCCUAUGUCUCUUGAUUGGUGAGUUUAGGCCAUUAACAUUUAAGGUUACAAUUGAAAUAUGAUUUGUACUUCCAGUCAUGUUUAUUUAUUUAUUUAUUUUAGUUUGGCUAGUUUUUACUUUUUGGUUAUUUUCCUCCCCCUUUACUGAGAUACCUCCUGCUGUUAGUUUUGGGCACUAUUUUUCAAUUCCUCUUCUUGUAGUAUUUUGCUCAAAAUGCUUUGCAGUGCUGGUUUUCUGGCUGCGAAUUCUUUUAGCUUUUGUUUAUCGUGAAAGAUUUUAAUUUCAUUGUCAAAUCUGAAGCUUAAUUUUGCUGGAUACAGUAUUCUUGGUUGGAAUCCAUUAUUUUUCAGCGUUUGAAAUACAUUGUUCCAGGAUCUUCUCACUUUCAAAGUCUGUGAUGAAAAAUCAGUCGUUAACCUAAUUGGUUUACCCCUGAAUGUAAUCUGCCUCCUUUCUCUCAUAGCUUUUAAUAUUCU